UACGGAGGGAGCUAGCGUUGUUCGGAAUUACUGGGCGUAAAGCGCACGUAGGCGGCUUUGUAAGUUAGAGGUGAAAGCCCGGGGCUCAACCCCGGGCCUGCAGCCGAUACGGGCAGACUAGAGUUCGGCAGGGGAGACUGGAAUUCCAGGUGUAGCGGUGAAAUGCGCAGAUAUCAGGAGGAACACCGGUGGCGAAGGCGGGUCUCUGGGCCGAUACUGACGCUGAGGAGCGAAAGCGUGGGGAGCAAACAGG
Molecule: ribosomal RNA, 253 nt
Filed under: uncultured bacterium
Lineage: Bacteria
Description: partial 16S ribosomal RNA
Rfam family: Bacterial small subunit ribosomal RNA
Source: RNAcentral